Non-coding RNA from Ictidomys tridecemlineatus (thirteen-lined ground squirrel), 8454 nucleotides. NCBI's taxonomy places the organism in Eukaryota, Metazoa, Chordata, Mammalia, Rodentia, Sciuridae. The record is from RefSeq and is a predicted model, not a curated record.
UCAAAAGUCUCUGCUCGCCCCCAGCCUGCGGGCUUGGGCUCAGUCCAGACGCCUCCCUGAAUGCAGAUGUGUCGCCGCGGUCUUCCCGGGCUAUAAAGCGGCCUCCAGCGCCUUAGCGCGCGCAAGAGCGCUUGGAGUUGUGGGGUGCGGACCCCGAGAGGGGUCCGGAGCCAGUGGCGGGUUGCGGCUGGAUGCCGGGGCUGGCGGCGUGUGGCGUACUCGUGGGUGGGGACGCCACGCGCGUCUGAUGCCUGCGGCCGUAGAGGCCGAAACCGCGACCCCUCCAGGCCUGGGAGAUGCGGCCGUGGGGCGUGAAACGCUUCUUGCGAGCGAGGGAACGAGUUGGACAACCUUUGGUGUCCUGAGCAGCAAAGAGCUUUGGCUUACGUUGGAGCAACCAGACCAGUGGAGACACAUAAAGUGCCUCCAUAGUAGUUUCUGCAGCCUUUCUUUCCACCCCGGUGGUGAAGCAGAUGGAAUAAGUGUUGAAGUUCCAAGUUCCUAUUUCUGCAGAAAGGCAAGAAACUCUGUGCUUCCAGGAAGUCCUGGGUAGAAUUCUGCUUUGGGAGAAUGGAGGAGGCCCGGUGGCAGGCGCCUUCUUCUAGAGAAGAUUUUGAUGAUCCUGAUCGCCAGCAAACUUCAUCCGCCAGCCCUUCUUGCGGGCCACCGGGAGGUCUUCAAAAGCCAGCAAAGCAGUUGAGGCCAAUGGAAAGUCACAGACUGUCCCUAAGACCGAAAGCUACUCUCUCCACCAUCUGGUUUUAGCUAAACUUCUGCAAAAAGGAAAAGAGAAAAAAAGAAAGAGAGAGAGAAAGAAAAAAAAAAAGCUCUGAUUUCAAUGGGUUUAAAGUUAUGAGGGGAAGUUGUAACUUCAGGCUACCAUCUGUCUGCCUCAAAUAUUUUACUUCUUGCUUCUUCUUUGUCAACGUUUGCAUCUAUAGGAGGCCACUGGGAGUAGGAGGAAAAUUCAUGAUUUAUCAUAUGUUUUGAUUUGCUUGUAAUGUUUUAAAUAUGCUUCAAUGGAGUCUCAGAGAGCACAUCUUUCAGAAGGAGGAAAUUGUGUCGGAGUUGGGCUGAACAUUGCCCCUCGGGGAGUCAGGGAUUAUUGCAGAGUGCUUCUGGCCAUGGCUGGGUCAGGGUGACCUGUGUCAUUGUGAUGCAACCACCAGCAUACCUUGGUGGCCUUGGGUGUAGCUCUACGGACCAGGGAGGGUAGAAAAUCCCUCUGAAAGACGGCAGGGAUCCAGACAGUGGGCCCUUGAUCACUGUAACAGUCGCCUCCCCGGACACGAGGGGCCUACUUUACAAUGGUCUGUCUGUGGAACUACUACCCGACCAAAGGCCAUCGAUUCAAAUGCCUCCAAAAGCCUGGCAGGUGACGUAAAUGAGUGACAGAGGUCAUUGGAAGAAACAUCCUUUCUCUCAUUUUCCUUAGUCUAGGUCUUGUUUUCCCCACAUUUUAUGACAUGGGUAAAAGCAAUACUUCAUGCUCCUCUUAUUUCUUUUCCGGAAAAAGCGACCUUGUACACAUAAUUAGGCACCAGGUCCCUGGCCUCCCACUAUGGGUGUCACAGUGGGUAACGAUGGUGGGGAGGGAUGGGUCUUUCUCUCAGUUGAAGAUGAGGUUUUUCUCUAGCAUCUGUGCUGACCCCCAAAAGAGUUGACAAAAUUAAGGACGAAUGAAGUCUUAGUCUCACAGUAGUGGACAGUCAGAGGCUAGCAAUGACUCAAGAGUUCCACGGAGAACCUGGGUCUUUCUUCAUUGAGGCCAGCUUCGGCUUCCUCCACUGGCUGGCCGCUCUCAGAGUGGCUGGCUGGUGGCCCCUUGCAUCCAGAUCUGCAGCUUGCUUUCAUUUUCUUUCUGGGUGCCUGGGAAUGACUCUCCAAUCCCAUUACCUCUCUUGUUUCUUUCUUCCUGAUUGGAUGCACCCAGGUCACCUGCCAGUCUUGGACCAAUAAGAGGCCUCAGAAGAGUGGGGUAUGCUGAUUGGCUUAGGAAGAUAAGGGUGUUGAAGAAAAAGAGGGAAAGAAACAGAAUCCAGGCUCUAUUGAGAGGGGGUGUGGCAAAGGGAACCAAUGUCAAAACCAUUUAGUUUGUCAAAAGAUCAAGAAAUCUGGAUCUUAGAUGAAAUUUUCAAAGUAUCAAAUAAAAGCAACUAAUUUAAACUUCCUUUUUUUUAAAAAAAAAAUAAAUAUCAUUCAGGUCAACAUUGGGCACAAUGAAGUAUGACUAAACACAUUGGUCCUUGGGCCUCAAGGCAAAUAGAGAACUGACAGAGGAGAUGAGGGAAGCAAAGGGUUGACGGAAUUCCAUUAAAGAAUUCACGAGAUGGUCAAGGACUCUGGGACUGCGAAGCUCUUGGUGUCUUUUUUUAUUAUUUUUCCUUCUUCCAUCUUGUGACUGCCUGGGAAUAACACCUGUAAUAGAUUUCAGUGGGCCCCCAACGGCACCUCAGAGACUUUUAAAAGGUCAAGAGCUUUCUUAAGAACUUAACUUACUACUCGAGAGUAACUUGGGUGCUAGAGAAAAAAAAAAAUCAGGAUGAAUGUUCAUAGGAAGUUAAAGCCUGCCUUUUUUUUUCCCCCCCUUAGGAAAAUUCUAAAUGUUAACAGAAGCAUGGAUCUGCUGAGAGAGCUACAGGUUUUCCGUUCCAAAAAUGCUUUUGUUGCUAAUUAAAAUUAGUCUAAUUUUGAAAUGAUCACAUCAUUAAAGAGUAUUUCAACUGAUAUUGAUUUGAUGAUACCUACAAACAUCUUAGAAUAAAGAGCCUGGUGUUUUAGCAUUAUAAGGUGCUCUGAUUAAACUCGGAUCUCUGAAAUUGAUGACAUGAGCUCCCGAUACCUCUUCAUUCCUUCCCACCCCUGCAUGAAAUAAUUAUGAAUACUUCACUCCAUGCAAUCCACGUUUAUUUUAUUUUAUUUAUUUUCUUCUACAAGGAUGGGGGAUGGCUGGAUAAAGUGCUAGUUCUUUGCUGGUCUAUACUAUGGCCCUAGCAAUAUCUUAAUUAAGUCUAGAGUCAAAAUGAAAUAUGUGCCCCAUGCAUGUUUCUAAUCCUUUCAAACCUGCAGUUUUGAUGUGUGAUCCUGGGCCAGCUCUUUAGAAUGGUGUCUAUUAUGUCAAUAAAUCUUCACAGCGAUGUCAGCCGGGACAUCAGCAUCUUUGGUGGAAGGGAGGGCUGGCUUUCAGAGGUGCUGGAGGUUGGGGGCACAGUUUCAGAGAGGCUUCACCCUUAUUCCCAGGGGCAGGUGCUUUUUCCACACUGUCUGCUCCACAUAAAUAUCCUGUUCAUUCGCUUAUUCGUCCCUCACUCGCCUGGCAGCUCAGCCUAGCCUCCUGACCUCUCAGUCUGUGCAAAGUCCAACUUCAGGCUGAAGGCUCCACUGAAGUCCACCCCAUCCGGAAUUCAAGCCAACAUGGGUCCCUCCCUUUCCCGUUUGCAGAAGUUACCAGUGAUGCAUCAGAUGGCUUCAGCCGAUUCGGACUUUGAUCCAUUCAUUUGACUCCUAUCCACUGAACCCAUCCUUCUUGUGAGACAGUAUUUGGAUCAGAAAAAAUGAGAAAGAAAGAAAGAAAAAAAAAAAAACAGGAAGAUCAGAUCCCUGCUGUUAGGGCAUUUACAUUUUGGGUUGUGACGGGCAGAAAAUAGCUAGAGAAGUACAUAAUUUUGCAUUGUAAAAUGUCCACAAAGGGAGCAAAGAAGGUAGCAUUCCAGAAACAUGGUCGACAGGAAGCUGCGUGAGACAGGAGACCAGGUGGGUCUCUCAAGGGGAAGGCUUUCAGGCACAGAAAUGAGAGGGGGAAGAACAUUUCCUGGGUUUAUGUAAUUUUUCUGUCUCCAAGGUCAGCAAAUUGAAGGUUCCUUAAAGGCCAGAUGAGAUAUGCCUAUCUCCCGAGCCCUUUGGAUUUCAGCCCUGGGCUGACAGAUCUGGGCGGAACCCAGUAGGUCCUUACUGAGCCUAACAGAGGGAGCGAGAGACUAGAUUCUUCCCACUCCCUCAAGAGGAAGACAGCAGCAGCAGUUCAGAGUGAGUGAUGGGGGGUGGGGGAGAAGCCCUAUCUCGAGGAGGGACUAUUUAUUCUGAGACUUCAUGGAACCUGGAUUUCACAAGUUCUAAUGCACAACGAUGAAGGUUGGGCACCACCUUCUUGGAGUGAAACUUCUUUUCUGAUGCAUGUUCCUCCGUCUUUUCAUGCACGUCUCAGAGCAUCCCGGGUGGCCCAACUACCAGACCCUCCUUUGACGGAGUGUGAGGCUGAGACACCUGUGUGACUAUUUGGGGUCACAUCUGCUGUUCCUAGAAAAUCAGGUGCCUCCCAGAAAUCCUUGCUUGAUUCUUUCUUCUGUGCCCCAGUGGUACAAAGCAGGCUAUGCCCUCGUGUCUGUGUUUGCCCAACAGUGGGUUAAGAAUCUCCAGAAGAGUGGGAACUGGCUGGCAGGUGCUUCCACUGGCCUCAGAGACUGUGAGAUGGCCAUGAAUCCGAGACUCUGCGGGCCCAACACCGAUGCCAAACUGACCAGCAGCAAUUUGCCACGACGUCUCUGCAGAGAAACCUCUGCCAUUUGCCCAAGCCCUUAGCUCUGGACAGAGUGCUGGCCUUGGCUCAGCUCUGUGAAGGACUUCACGGUGGAUGGAACACAGUGGCAAGAAAACAUGCUGGGGGAGAGCCUAUGGUGAGACAAAAAGCCAGAGACCAAGAAGGGGACGAUUCUUGCUCUCUUAUAACAGCACUCUCUUGGUUCCCCCACCUCCUAAUACCGCCACACUGAGAUGCAAGCUCCCAGGACAUGGACACAGAUGGGGUACCGUAUGUGCUUGAGCCAUAGGCGGGAUCAGGAGCAGUCAAAGAUGGUAACUGGGCCUUUCUCAUUCUGGGAACAUCUGACAGAGAAAGUCAAGGUGCCGGGAUUUGAUGGUGGCCUCAGGAUUCCAAAGAACUUCCCUGAGAGUGAAAGUUUUGAAUAAGCCAAUGUGGCCUCUGACCUGACAUCCGUUCCAUGUGCCGUCUGACCUGGGGUGGCCAGACUCUCGGAUACGGACCGUCAUGAAGGCCACAGUCCACAUGUCCUCACUCUUUGACCCCGAUGAUGGGUGGAUCCUAAGGGCACCUCCUCUACCUUCUCCUGGCAGGAAGUGCUCGUCCUUUGUCAGCAGAGUGGACCACGUGUGGGGAGAAGGCAGCCGACUUGACUUCUGAGGCCACUUUAGACACACUGUGUUUCCAGCUUCUUUUCCCAUUGUUGGUGACACAUCCCGAAGGAAAGACCAAGCAGACGGCUUUUUUGGUUAGGAACAUUUCAAAGUUUAUUUUGAUUCUUCUUCUGACUUAAACAGAAAUUAUCCCAACAACUUUGGCGACAUCUAUUUUCAUCUGCAUGUGGUAUUUGCAACGACUCCAAAGUGGAAGACGUAUUUACACCAUGACAUUUCCCAUGGCGCGCGAUGCCCUUUGUCUAAACAUCCUGGGACGCAGUCACGUGACCUUUGACGCUCGUGUCUCCUAGGAGAAUCCUGGACGUGCCCUACCAGGUUCCUCUCCUCACUCCAAGGAGGAACUCUAAAUGCAUGACUCUUAUUUCAAUGACUUUUGACAUUUCUAUUGAGGUUUUUAAAAUAGAGAUGUGCAUUCUUCUUAAUCUUAGGGAUUCUAAUUGAAGAAAUACCAGAAGUGAAUGUUUUAAGGUCCCACAUGUACCAUCCAGCACAUGGUGAAGAUGUGCAAAGUGGAAUUUCAACUCAGAUUGCCCCUUUCCUGGGAGACCUGUUCACCCUGUAACUGGGGCUAGGGACGCUAUGGAGCUGACCAAUUUGCUUCCCUGCAGAGUGGAUAGCUUUCUGAUGGUCUGCUUUUUGACUCCUUUGGGAAAAGAUGUGUUAACAGGAGAGAACAAUAGAGUGGAAGAGAGUCCUCUCGUUGGAGAACAUGGUGGGCACCAAAGUGUGGAAGUGUGUUCAGCCCUGUUUGCCUGCCUCUGGGUAGGACCGCUGACCUGUCCCUCAGGGAAUCGUCAAGAAGCUAAUGAGUGUUACUCGUGGCAUGAGGACUUUGCAUGUUCAUCUUCUCAGAGGCAAAGCCCAGGGACUCAAAAGACAGGACACUUCUCUGAUUGGUCCUCCUAUCUCAGAAAAGGUCGGAAAGACAGGGGCAAAGAGUCAUUCCUGUUUGCAGCAUCUGGUGGGAACAGUCUCAGGCAGACAGAGGAGAAGUCCGCCUGCUGCAGCCUGGCGAAGGGGAUGGCCCUCCCAUAGCAUCUCCCAGGAAGAGGGUGGAGGUGGAGGACGGGCCUCCUUGCCUUGAUCUCUUCUGGGCAUGUGCAGCCAAUGUCCACCCGCUGGGACCUGCCCUGUGGUGUCCAAAAGGUUUCUUGGGGCCUGGCACCAGAGUGGGUGCCCCCCUUCCUCCCUGGGGAGGCUCCCUCCACCAGUGUCGGCUGGAGUUGGUGGGUGCCUACUUCGGCCCCCUCGGGUCCCUCUUAUGAGACGGCUCAGAGCUUCAGCUUCACCUUCACAGCUUCGUGCAUCACCUCAGGGGCAGCCCAGAGGAGCCUGCUACACUUUGUUUGGCCUCCAGGGCCUUCCUCUGAAAUCUCAGCAGGUGCCUCUGUGACCCCUCCAGGAAGACUCCAACAUCCAUCACGCACUCCUGCAGAGCCAGCACCACAUGCAUGCUAUCAAGGUCUGCUGCCGGCCCAUGCAAUACCCGGGUCCCCUGAAAUCAAGGCUGCAGUGAGCUCCGCAUGGUGAGACAACUUUUUAGGAGCUCCCAGUGUGAGCCAGAUACACCCGUGACCUCUUCUCAAAGGAAUUCUCCCUUGGAGAGCCUUGAACCCACAAAGGGUGUGGUCCCGAAAAUUCCUGGGGUGUCCUCAAGACAUUUCCUAUUGUGCAAAGUACUCAGCAUUUCUGUAAGAGCUACAAUCUCAUCAAGAAGCCCACCUUCCUUGGCCCUAGCUUCAUAUGCACUUGUCUGUUCAAGUCCAGUUUCCCCUCUGAAACCUCCUGAGCAGAGUCCACAUUUCUACCUGCAGUCGGGUCUCCGAAGCUCAGCAGAGGAAAGAUGCUCAGCUUCUGGCAGAGCCACAAAGCAGAGGCAGGAGAAGGGGACACAGAGAAGGUGCGCCUUCCCAGGGCACACUCCCAGGGACCCACCUCGGCCAGUCAAGCCCCCCCCCCUAGAGACAUCACCCAGCCUUAGAUUGUGGUCUAACCAUGAAUUCAUUUUAUCUCUGAAUAUUCCUGUCCUAACAGGAGGUGGUUUUUUUUUUUUUUUUUUUGGUGGGGGGAACCUCCUUUCUAAACCAUAAACACAUCAAUUUGAUUUUUAUAGCAUGUUAGCAAUUACAUGCUUAAAACUUAAUUUACAAAGUGAAACUUGAUUUAAAAAUAAAAAACCAACUUUUCAAAAUUAUGAAACUUUAUCGGAGACACCGAAGAUGUCUUAAUGAAGGAAUUGGCAGAUUAUGGUCCUAUCGGGAAAGGCUCUCUCUACUCCAGUGACAUUAGUUCUUUCUAAAUUAACUAAUUCAUUCAAUACAUUUGGAAACAACAGCUCUACCUAUAAAAUCUAACAGGCAUUCUCAUGUUCGUCAGGAAAAUAAAUUGUUCUAGGAUUGUUGGAAGAAUUUUGUGAGGGGAAAAAAACCAGGAGCUUAUGUUAUCAAGAUAGACCACUAAAAUCGAGUGACUAAAGUGCACUUAAAAUAUGUUAAUUGUAUUUUAUUAUUACAUGAGAAAAAAAAGAUGCAUCAAGAAAAGAAUGGAGAAUCUGAAAACGGACCCACGUGUGUUUAAAAAUUUACAAAAUUGUAAAAAUAAAUUGAAAAACCCUUAUUUUACAAUAUUAAUGCAACUAAUUGCAACUGGGUUUGAUUGAAAUCUGUGUAUUCUGAAAGCAAAACUUUACAAGUAUAAGAAUAAAAUGCAGAAGAAUUUCCAUAGGAUUAGAUAAUACAAACUUGGCCACCCAGGAGAGAAAAACCAAGAAAUGACAAAGAAAAAGAAUAACCCGAUUUUACUACCCUACAAUUUAAAAAUCACCAGAAAUAUAGUGAUUUCAAUAUCCUAGUAACAAACAUAAACUAAAGACAGAAGAAAACAGCUGGGGUGGAGCUUAGUUGUAGAGCCCUUGCUUUGAAUGCAUAGGGUUUCGGCCCCAGCACUGCAUUAAAAAUAUAAAAGAGAAAUUUUACAACAUGAUUAUAUUUUUACAUCCUAGAAAUAAAACUAAUAAGUUGUGUGUAAGAUCUCCAUACCAGAAAAUGUAAAAUAUUAUUAUUAAUCAUCAUCCUUAUAUUAUAUAUUAUUUUGAAUAAAUUAAGAUUUUAAUAAAUGGAUUUCUGUGCUGUGUUCUUGGGUUGGAGUGUAGCUAUAUCAGUUCUUCCCAAAUGAUUUAUAUAUUUAUUCAAUUUCAAUAAAGAUAUCAGGAUUCUCUUUCUCCCUUUUUGGAGGAAAGUG